This is a long non-coding RNA of Salvia miltiorrhiza (redroot sage), 940 nucleotides long. RefSeq lists it as uncharacterized. The transcript has 3 exons. Lineage: Eukaryota; Viridiplantae; Streptophyta; Magnoliopsida; Lamiales; Lamiaceae. The record is from RefSeq and is a predicted model, not a curated record.
GACAUUGGUUUUUGUUAAAGUCUGUGGUCAUAUGUGUUUUGUCUGUGGUCUUAUGUUUGUCUGUGGUCUUUUAGCAUAAAAAUAUGCUUAUAGACACUAGACUUAUAUGUCUGUUGUUUUAGAUGAGAAGUUAAAAGUAAUCUAUAACACCGAACCUAAUAAUCUAUAGUUGUAAGUGUGAUGUUAUUUAAAAGUUAAAAGAAUAAUUAAAAGUUGCUUUUAAAAAAAAACUAUCAAAGUGUAUUAUUUCUGUCACUCAUCCAAUUUUUUAGAGAAUAAAUUUUGAAAUUAAUAAAAGCCCUAAAAAAACUAUCAGAAAUUCUAUCACGUCCUUAAUUUUCUCUCAAACUCUCAAAAACUGAAUUCGUCGCCGGCGGACCAGUGCAUCACCUUCUUCCACUACCGCCGGUCCGCUCCGCUGCCUCUCUCGUUGAGCCCUAAAUCUCUCUCCCGCCUGUAACUCACCCUCUCAUUCCCUUACUCCCCUGCCACACCCUCUCGAGGCCACUGUUAAAGCUCGCCGCCGGCGGACUAGUGCCUGCCAAUCGCUGCAAGAGUUUCAACAGUGCCCUCACCCAGAUUUGUGCAACGCCACCGUGCCCGAGCAGCCUUCACCGUGCCGAGCCGCUGUCAUCGCGCUCUGCCGCAGCUGCCAUUGCCGCUGUGUCCCACGUACUGUUUCCGCUGUCGCUUAUAAGGUUGAUGCUCGUAUAAAAGCACUCAAAAACAUUGUGUGGAAGGAAGGCCUUAAAUCAACAGGUGGCUGAUUCCCUCGUUAGAUGGGUGGAUCAACUCCAAUACAAAGCCAUCCCCCAAGUCCCAAGUCCUAAAAUUUUAUACGUCGAAAAUAUCCAAUCAUGAUAUAGAUUGUAAUCUUCUUACUCCACGGGCCUCUGUAAGUCGAAGGGGAUCAAACACAGUCGAGUCAAAGUCAUUAGUA